GGGGUCGUAUUGGUUUUGACAGCAUAGGUUACGGUUGGUGUAAGCAUGCAGUGCGUUGUGUAAUUAGCACUUUAAUCUGAAUGCUCAAACUUCAAAUGGCAAUACACAGUAUGCCAUGGCUGCUUAAUCAGUGAUUAGGUAACCAUUUGGGCCGCCGCACAGGUUCGCUUCUUUCCAUGUGCCGCCGCCGACUCAAAACAAAAGAAGACGCUGCAACAGAAGGCUGUGACUGUUGCCUAAGCCCAUCCAGCUAAGCGCAAGGUUGGUUUGUUCCUGUCCUGCAUUGUGCCGACAAAUAAUCAGGAAAUAAGCAUGUAGAAAGCUAAUGGUAGCGAUGUUUGGACGCGGGUUCGACUCCCGCCGACUCCACAG
RNAcentral lists this transfer-messenger RNA (372 nucleotides) under Chitinophagaceae. RNAcentral describes it as "Sediminibacterium sp016183765 Standard tmRNA". It matches the Rfam family "transfer-messenger RNA". Rfam says of the family: Bacterial tmRNA, also known as 10Sa RNA or SsrA, is named for its dual tRNA and mRNA-like properties. Its role is to liberate the mRNA from a stalled ribosome. Lineage: Bacteria; Pseudomonadati; Bacteroidota; Chitinophagia; Chitinophagales. The record is from RNAcentral. RNAcentral also lists the same sequence under 1 other name.